GACACGGGCCAUGUUGUAGACCGUGUAACUUUGUUUUUCACAUCCAACACACCCUGGAAAGUUGGGCGCAUGCCGUGUAGAGCAGCACGGGUCAUGUCUGAAACUGUGUUGAAGCCCAAAAACAUGUUUUUACUCCGUUUUUUGCACUAACACCUGUAUAACUCAAUAGUUUGCACAACCAAAGAAUUUUUCACUUAAAACAACAUAAAAAUGAAAGGAGCUAAGUUCCAAACCAACUGAAAUGUAU
RNAcentral lists this long non-coding RNA (247 nucleotides) under Ricinus communis (castor bean). RNAcentral describes it as "long non-coding RNA (RCOM_LNC002546)". The record is from RNAcentral. Lineage: Eukaryota; Viridiplantae; Streptophyta; Magnoliopsida; Malpighiales; Euphorbiaceae.